Molecule: small RNA, 524 nt
Filed under: Curvularia spicifera
Lineage: Eukaryota; Fungi; Ascomycota; Dothideomycetes; Pleosporales; Pleosporaceae
Description: eukaryotic LSU rRNA
Rfam family: 5.8S ribosomal RNA (bases 155-308)
Source: RNAcentral
AAUACGAAGGCCGUUCGCGGCUGGACUAUUUAUUACCCUUGUCCUUUGCGCACUUGUUGUUUCCUGGGCGGGUUCGCUCGCCACCAGGACCACAAUAUAAACCUUUUUUAUGCAGUUGCAAUCAGCGUCAGUAUAACAAAUGUAAAUCAUUUACAACUUUCAACAACGGAUCUCUUGGUUCUGGCAUCGAUGAAGAACGCAGCGAAAUGCGAUACGUAGUGUGAAUUGCAGAAUUCAGUGAAUCAUCGAAUCUUUGAACGCACAUUGCGCCCUUUGGUAUUCCAAAGGGCAUGCCUGUUCGAGCGUCAUUUGUACCCUCAAGCUUUGCUUGGUGUUGGGCGUUUUUGUCUUUGGCCCGCCAAAGACUCGCCUUAAAAUGAUUGGCAGCCGGCCUACUGGUUUCGCAGCGCAGCACAUUUUUGCGCUUGCAAUCAGCAAAAGAGGACGGCAAUCCAUCAAGACUCCUUCUCACGUUUGACCUCGGAUCAAGUAGGGAUACCCGCUGAACUUAAGCAUAUCAAUAA